AGUGAACGCUGGCGGUAGGCCUAACACAUGCAAGUCGAACGGCAGCACAGUAAGAGCUUGCUCUUACGGGUGGCGAGUGGCGGACGGGUGAGGAAUACAUCGGAAUCUACUUUUUCGUGGGGGAUAACGUAGGGAAACUUACGCUAAUACCGCAUACGACCUACGGGUGAAAGCAGGGGAUCUUCGGACCUUGCGCGAUUGAAUGAGCCGAUGUCGGAUUAGCUAGUUGGCGGGGGAAAGGCCCACCAAGGCGACGAUCCGUAGCUGGUCUGAGAGGAUGAUCAGCCACACUGGAACUGAGACACGGUCCAGACUCCUACGGGAGGCAGCAGUGGGGAAUAUUGGACAAUGGGCGCAAGCCUGCUCCAGCCAUACCGCGUGGGUGAAGAAGGCCUUAGGGUUGUAAAGCCCUUUUGUUGGGAAAGAAAAGCAGCAGGUUAAUACCCCGCUGUUCUGACGGUACCCAAAGAAUAAGCACCGGCUAACUUCGUG
This 492-nucleotide ribosomal RNA is filed under the name uncultured bacterium. RNAcentral's name for it is "partial 16S ribosomal RNA". It matches the Rfam family "Bacterial small subunit ribosomal RNA", at positions 29 to 507 of the family's 1533-position model. The record is from RNAcentral.